UAGGGAAUCUUCCGCAAUGGGCGAAAGCCUGACGGAGCAACGCCGCGUGAGUGAUGAAGGUCUUCGGAUCGUAAAACUCUGUUAUUAGGGAAGAACAAAUGUGUAAGUAACUAUGCACGUCUUGACGGUACCUAAUCAGAAAGCCACGGCUAAUUACUUUCAACCAGCCGCGGGAAUACGUAGGUGGCAAGCGUAAUCCGGAAUUAUUGGGCGUAAAGCGCGCGUAGGCGGUUUUUUAAGUCUGAUGUGAAAGCCCACGGCUCAACCGUGGCGGGUCAUUGGAAACUGGAAAACUUGAGUGCAGAAGAGGAAAGUGGAAUUCCAUGUGUAGCGGUGAAAUGCGCAGAGAUAUGGAGGAACACCAGUGGCGAAGGCGACUUUCUGGUCUGUAACUGACGCUGAUGUGCGAAAGCGUGGGGAUCAAACAGG
Molecule: ribosomal RNA, 429 nt
Filed under: Actinomycetes bacterium
Lineage: Bacteria; Bacillati; Actinomycetota; Actinomycetes
Description: Actinobacteria bacterium partial 16S ribosomal RNA
Rfam family: Bacterial small subunit ribosomal RNA
Source: RNAcentral